RNAcentral lists this ribosomal RNA (336 nucleotides) under Salmonella enterica subsp. enterica serovar Infantis. RNAcentral describes it as "bacterial SSU rRNA". It matches the Rfam family "Bacterial small subunit ribosomal RNA", at positions 1 to 333 of the family's 1533-position model. RNAcentral also lists the same sequence under 5 other names. The record is from RNAcentral. Lineage: Bacteria; Pseudomonadati; Pseudomonadota; Gammaproteobacteria; Enterobacterales; Enterobacteriaceae.
AAAUUGAAGAGUUUGAUCAUGGCUCAGAUUGAACGCUGGCGGCAGGCCUAACACAUGCAAGUCGAACGGUAACAGGAAGCAGCUUGCUGCUUCGCUGACGAGUGGCGGACGGGUGAGUAAUGUCUGGGAAACUGCCUGAUGGAGGGGGAUAACUACUGGAAACGGUGGCUAAUACCGCAUAACGUCGCAAGACCAAAGAGGGGGACCUUCGGGCCUCUUGCCAUCAGAUGUGCCCAGAUGGGAUUAGCUUGUUGGUGAGGUAACGGCUCACCAAGGCGACGAUCCCUAGCUGGUCUGAGAGGAUGACCAGCCACACUGGAACUGAGACACGGUCCA